This 255-nucleotide ribosomal RNA is filed under the name uncultured bacterium. RNAcentral's name for it is "partial 16S ribosomal RNA". It matches the Rfam family "Bacterial small subunit ribosomal RNA", at positions 524 to 776 of the family's 1533-position model. The record is from RNAcentral.
UACGUAGGGUGCAAGGCGUUGUCCGGAAUUCAUUGGGCGUAAAGAGCUCGUAGGCGGUUUGUCGCGUCUGCUGUGAAAACCCGAGGCUCAACCUCGGGCCUGCAGUGGGUACGGGCAGACUAGAGUGCGGUAGGGGAGAUUGGAAUUCCUGGUGUAGCGGUGGAAUGCGCAGAUAUCAGGAGGAACACCGAUGGCGAAGGCAGAUCUCUGGGCCGUAACUGACGCUGAGGAGCGAAAGCAUGGGGAGCGAACAGG